CCAUUUUUCAACAACAUUUUUAAUCUACGGAUGCAUACCCCAAACUUAUCUUUUUGCACAAGUUUUACAUUACACAGUCAUGCCGAGCUAGGGUAGGGAGUGUAGGGCUAAGGGUUAACAUGAUGGUUUAAACAAACAAAGGGUUACAGGCUCAAAGGGGUUAACAACGGAUGAAAACAACAUUAUGGGUGGCUAGAAAGGCUCAAAGGUUGAAA
This 215-nucleotide long non-coding RNA is filed under the name Lathyrus oleraceus (garden pea). RNAcentral describes it as "Pisum sativum (pea) long non-coding RNA (PSAT_LNC024659)". Lineage: Eukaryota; Viridiplantae; Streptophyta; Magnoliopsida; Fabales; Fabaceae. The record is from RNAcentral.